RNAcentral lists this ribosomal RNA (446 nucleotides) under uncultured Bdellovibrio sp. RNAcentral describes it as "bacterial SSU rRNA". It matches the Rfam family "Bacterial small subunit ribosomal RNA", at positions 336 to 796 of the family's 1533-position model. Lineage: Bacteria; Pseudomonadati; Bdellovibrionota; Bdellovibrionia; Bdellovibrionales; Pseudobdellovibrionaceae. The record is from RNAcentral.
CUCCUACGGGUGGCAGCAGUAGGGAAUCUUGCACAAUGGACGAAAGUCUGAUGCAGCGACGCCGCGUGAGUGAUGAAGGCCUUCGGGUUGUAAAGCUCUGUUGUCAGGGAAUAAAAAAAUGAAGGUACCUGACGAGAAAGGACCGGCUAACUUCGUGCCAGCAGCCGCGGUAAGACGGGGGGUCCAAGCGUUGUUCGGAAUUAUUGGGCGUAAAGCGGGCGUAGGUGGCUAUGUAAGUCAGGAGUGAAAGCCCUGGGCUCAACCCAGGAAGUGCUUUUGAUACUGCAUAGCUUGAAUGUGGGAGAGGAUAGUGGAAUUCCAGGUGUAGUGGUGAAAUACGUAGAUAUCUGGAGGAACACCGGUGGCGAAGGCGGCUAUCUGGCCCAACAUUGACACUGAGGCCCGAAAGUGUGGGGAUCAAACAGGAUUAGAUACCCUUGUAGUCU